This 320-nucleotide ribosomal RNA is filed under the name uncultured Chloroflexota bacterium. RNAcentral describes it as "bacterial SSU rRNA". It matches the Rfam family "Bacterial small subunit ribosomal RNA", at positions 28 to 351 of the family's 1533-position model. Lineage: Bacteria; Bacillati; Chloroflexota. The record is from RNAcentral.
GAUGAACGCUGGCGGCGUGCUUAACACAUGCAAGUCGAACGGACGCUUUGGGUAACUGAAGCGUUAGUGGCAAACGGGUGCGUAACACGUGGGUGACCUACCCCGAAGUGGGGAACAACGGACCGAAAGGUUCGCUAAUACCGCAUUAGCUCGAUGAUUCAUUUUGUCGAGUAAAGCCGUAAGGCGCUUCGGGAGGGGCCCGCGGCCCAUCAGGUAGUUGGUGAGGUAAUGGCCCACCAAGCCGAUGACGGGUAGCUGGUCUGAGAGGACGAUCAGCCACACUGGCACUGAGAUACGGGCCAGACUCCUACGGGAGGCAU